Molecule: unclassified non-coding RNA, 1825 nt
Filed under: uncultured fungus
Lineage: Eukaryota; Fungi
Description: sequence contains 18S rRNA gene, ITS1, 5.8S rRNA gene, ITS2, 28S rRNA gene
Source: RNAcentral
CCGACUCACCCUCGUAGUUCACGCCGCUAUCGGUUACGUUGAUGCGAGCGUUGGUGCGAAAGCGGCCGGUGUUGCCCUCCACCGGAAUGGGGUUCUGAUUGAAGUCGAUGGUGUAGCUGACCUGCUGCAGCCCGAUGUUGCCCGAGACCGUGGCGAUGCCGGCCUCGCGCCGUGUGCGGAGAUUGACGUUGAACUUGCCAGUCUUGCCCUGAACGUGGUAGCCGGGCCCAUCAGACGGCAGCGGGAUGGUCGCGAUACCCUCCCAGCUCAAAAGGAAGGGCUGUCCAUCCAGCGACAGCGGCAGGAUAAGCUCGUUGGAGCGCUCCGCCAUCCAGGGGCAGAUGUACCAGUCGAUGAUCCCCUUCGGCGUGAGCCAGUUGGGGUCCAGACUCAGCUGCGUGGGCGGUGGAGAAAGCUCAACCUCGGGGGCCUGAAACUCACUCAUAGAGACGCUCCCUCCAUACAAACCUACAAUUCUAGGUGCUUCGCCGGGAAAACCCGAACCCCCUACAGCGGAGCGUUGUUAACAUCGGCGUGGUUUAACGUCUAACGAAAAUCCUUACAAUUUCAGUACAUGAUAAUCACGCCCGUCCUGACGCCCCAGCCAGCCGCGCCCCGCGUCGCCGGCGAGUUUCCUCAGAUCCCGAACGACGCCUGGGACUACGUCGACGCCCGAGAAGCCGCUGCCGAAGAGCCGGCCAACCUCAAAGGGGUCGUCUUCCUCCAGAAAUCCGAUCAGAGCAUGCAGGUGCUCAAGUUCAGCGGGCAGACCCGGCCGGAGGUGCCGGCCGGGGAGCCGUCAGAUAUCCCGGAGGAAGCCGUGCGGUUCAACCGCGUGGUGAUCAGCGUGGACGGGAUCCACCAGGAAUGGCCCGAGCAUCAGCGCCAGAUCUAUCGAUUUCUUCACCACGGCGGCCCGCCGGGUGGCGCAGGAGCGGAUGUGGCCCAGCCGGUGAUCGGCAUUCACCAGGGCUGCGGCCGGUCGGAAGUAGCGGACGGGGCGCGCAUCGGCAAAGACCUGAGCCUGCUCAAAGGGUUGCAGGCGGGGGUGCUCCCUACCGCCUGGGCUCUGGAGAAAGCCAGCGUGAUCGACCCGGCCGUCAAGUCCCUUCAUGACAUGGUGAAGCAAGCUCUCCACGACGGACGCGAAGUCCAGAUCGUGAACCACAGCGGCGGCGGCCAGGAGACCGCGCUGGCGCUGACGCUCUUGAAGAAAGAAGGCUGGGAGCAGCAGAUCAAGGACCAGGUGCGAGUGCUGGCGCUGGCGCCGGCCUGCUCGGUGAAAGACCUCCAGAUGGCCGGGAUCAAAGACGAGAACAUCUUCUACACGGCCAGCGAGCACGACCCGGUGUGGCGGAUCUUCCAUCAUCACGUGCAUACGAACCCGCUCAAGAUCCCGCUGAACGUGCUCCCGAUCUACGAGGGGGUCCGGUAUCUGAUCAACAUGCGGCGCGAGCACCUCGCGGUGCAUUCACCGGACUACAUCUUCCGCAACAACAUGCAACCGGACGGCAAGCAGCGCAUCCAGGAAUUUCUCACGGGGACGCCUGGCGGGACCUACGUUCUGCCUUAGUCGUUGAGGCGGACGAGGCGGGACGGGAUGUGGCUCGGAAACUGGAGGCCUGGCUCGAACUCGCGGCUCAGGUUCUCUAGCAGGCUGCGGAUGGAUCCCUGGCGCAUGGCCUGGUAGAUUCCCCCCACCAUUUCUUCGAUCGGCUCGGUCGUGACAGUCAUAACUUCGAUUUUCUCCAGUUUUGUGCCAAGAAACGCUACUACGCUUGCAGGCUCACUGCGCGCUGCGCUUCCGGUGAUACUCCUUGAGGGC